Molecule: ribosomal RNA, 253 nt
Filed under: uncultured bacterium
Lineage: Bacteria
Description: partial 16S ribosomal RNA
Rfam family: Bacterial small subunit ribosomal RNA
Source: RNAcentral
UACGGAGGGUGCGAGCGUUGUUCGGAAUCACUGGGCGUAAAGCGCGUGUAGGCGGCCUCCUCAGUCUGGUGUGAAAGCCCGGGGCUCACCCCCGGAAGUGCAUUGGAUACUGGGAGACUGGAGUACCGGAGAGGAGGGUGGAAUUCCUGGUGUAGCGGUGAAAUGCGUAGAUAUCAGGAGGAACACCGGUGGCGAAGGCGGCCCUCUGGACGGAUACUGACGCUGAGACGCGAAAGCGUGGGGAGCAAACAGG